CUUAUUUUUAUCUUUAUAUAAUCUUGAAAAUACAAAAAAUAGUUUCACUUUUAAUAUUUAGUUUUAUUUUGGUAGUGUUUCAAUUAAUUAAGAGUAAUUUUUAUAUUUCUAUAUGUUUAGUCUUCUUAGCCCAAAAUUAAGACCCAAUAAGACAUGGACCCAAUCCAAUUCGGAUCUAGCCCAUAAUAACCCUAGCCCAAUACUUUAAGACCCAUUCCCCCUUUCUUCAUAUACACCUUACUACACAUUUUCUAACCUAGAAUGACUAACCUAAAAAAUCAGUCGUUUUUAGAAAGAAUGAAUAGAACGGGACCUAAGGAGUCAGCCGCAAUUCCCAACAUGAGACCCCCCCAUCGGUUCCCGGUACUGGAGAUGACAACCAACGACCCCUCCUUCUUCUUCAGCACCUCCCCUAAACGUUCUUCUUCUGCGGACACCCAAUCAAAACCAAUCGUCCAACUCCCAUCAUGCCGGCGACCACACACGCACACACAACACCCUACGCAGCCUUCAUCACCUAAACCUGAACCUUCAGACCUAAGUAAAGUGAAUGCCUUCUGUCUCUUCUUCUUCGUCCAGCAUCACCAUUCGAAACAGCGCGAAACGCAAAACAAAAAUUCAAAAAAAGAGCAACGAAAAGUACCAAUCCAGUCAUCAAAGCUUUAGCUCCUCAAAACAAGUUUUUGAAUUCCAUUUCGUCAGGAGAUCUCCGUUUGAGAUCGUUAGAUCUUCAUUUUCGUUUGAGGUCCUUUCGUCGUUCUGAUUUGGCUUGCUAUUCCUACUCGGUUGUACUGUCACUUCUCAGACAAACUGUUGGCGUCGUGGUUUUGAUCCGAUCAGUUAUUUUCUCUCUCUGCGAUUUGGCUUUCAUUUUUUCAUAGAUUCAGAAGCUGGGUUAGCUUCAUUUUGUUGUUUGUUGUUAUUUCAUCAAGCUAUAAAUGUUUCUUUGGCUUUCUGCUCUUAUCUUUUAAUGUUUGCUAAGUUGUGUAUGUAUUAAUGCCAUUCCAACAGUAUCUGACUCGAUCCAAUAAACUUGUUUCAUUCGAUAUUAUAUAUCAUUAUGAUAAGGUAGACAAUUUAGGACCAUUUGUGAUUAAUGAGAGUUCAUAUUGUUCAAAGAAUACAAAUUUUAAGUGGUUCGUUAAUUUGAUUUCAUGAAUAUAGAUUGUUACUGACAGAUACAAGUUCAAUGAUGGCUAUGGGUAUGGUUCCCGUGACAUAGUUACGAUACAUAAUUUCCAAAUCCGAGUGUACAUUUCAUGUGACUCGACUCUAAUUUCCAACAAGGUUAAAUAAAGCGUGUCGUGAACCGCGGGUGCAUUUCAUGUAGCGUGGUUUAUUAUGUGUUUUAAAUAACUUUGAAUUUUCCUAAAAAAUAUUAAAAGCGGUUAGAAGGUUUAAAAAUGCACGUAAGUUUAAAACAGGUGAUUAAUCAGAUAAUUAGGAAAAUAUUAAUAGUUAAGCGACCAUGCUAAAACCACGGAACCCGGGAGUGCCUAACACCUUCUUAACAGAAUUCCUUACCCGGAUUUCUGUGUUCGCGUACUGUAAAACAGAGUCAAACUUUCCUCGAUUCGGGAUUUAAAACCGGUGACUUGGGACACCAUAAAUUAUCCCAAGUGGCAACUCUGAAUUUUAAAUAAAAUAAUCCCGUACCGUUUCGAUUGUCACUUAAAUUGGAAAAAACUCCCUUAUACUCCAUUUUCAGGGUAGUGAAAAGGAGGUGUGACAGCUCUGGCGACUCUGCUGGAGAAAAGAACCCAGAACUUCUGUUCAUGGUUCAGAAUUCGAGCUUAGAAAAUAUGUUAUAGUUGACUUUAUUUAUUAUUUGAUUUUUACGUGUUUGAUCCUAAUGUGCUAAAUGUCACUUUUUACCGCUUUGAUAUUGUUUGGACUGUAUAUAAAUUGUUACGAGAACCUCCUCUCUCUGAGUCUUCUAAGUCAUCCGGGAAGUGUGCACUUCGUGUGACUUCUUUUCUGUUAGAGUCGUAUCCUAAAUUUAAGAAUGAGGUUCGGACAAGUUGCAAAGCUGGUGAAGCUUCUGUAUUCCCGGUACGCUGCCCCACCCUCGGCUCGAGCUGUCCGCUCGAGUAGGCCAGGUCUAGAACAAAUAAACUCAAGAUUUUAAACUUAGAAUAAUAUAACCUCAUGACAGAUCCCUCGUAAGAACGCUUGUUUCCAUCAUGUGCAUUUGACUUUGGGGACUCAACAUAGGGGUUGGGUCCAUCUAGGACAUGUGUACCCAAAAAUAAAAGACGAUCCUGAUGCAUCCUAAUGUGCUACAUGUUGCAAUCUUCAAGGGUAAAAGUGGUCAUUUGACGGACCAAUGAGGUUUGAGGGUAAAUGAGAAUGAAAAGAGGUUGAAGUAAAAAAAUGAAGCAAGUGGGGCCUAGUUCUAAUUUUCUUUCACACUUUUUCAAAAAAAAAAAAUCCAAAAAAAUGAAAAUCAAAAAUCCAAAAAAGAGUUUGCACUUUCCCCGUCAUUUUUUUUUUCAAAAAACAAGAAAAAGAAAAUCCAAAUUUUCUCUAAAAAAAUAUAUGCCCGUAUCCAAAAAAUAUAUGCCCGUAAUUGGAUUCUCUAAAGAAAAUUCAAAUUUUUUUUUUGUCUCUAAAAAAAAGACAAAAAAAUAUAUUUUCUCUAAAUUAGUUAUUUUUUUAAUUCUUGCCCGUAUCCAAUCCGCCCGAACUACGCAUACCUGAUUCUAGUCUUCCGGGGUGUGAUACGUAGGCAACCCACAUAGGGUCCGGUCUUCCUAGUGAAUCUUAGGUUCUUGGCUUCGCUGGGUCUUAGCCAAAUCUUGCAUUUUAGCCACUUUUAGCCACAUAAGUUAAUUUUAGAAAAAUAGUCACAAUCAUGUCUUGCAUGUGUCCAACAGGAAGGGUUAUUGUCUCACAUAGCGUUCUAGGUCUUUAACUUAUUUGGUUUUAAUUUUCGCAUAUAGGUGUGGGUUUACUUACCGGAGUUUGAGCAUGACAGAUGCUCCGGACCAUCCAGUCGGAAUCGCUCAUUCAGGAGUUGCUUAGGGAGAAUUUUUUUUAUAUAUAUUUUGAGUCUAUUUUUCUUUUUAUGUCAUCUUUUACCUUCUAGUUUUGUAUAGUAGUGUCGAGUCUUUUGUUAUUGUAUUUCCUAUUUUGUAUUUGAAAAACGAUGUUCAUAAAUCAAAAUAAAAAAAAGUAAUUUUGUAUUUUUAUAUUUCUAUUAGAUGUAUUCUUUAGAAUACUAACUCUAGAAGUUCAAAAAAAAAUCUUUCGAGGUUUUCCUUAGGAAAUUAAUAUCUAGAACUCAAAAUAAAAAAAUUGCGUUUAUAUUCCCUUUACUACAUUAAGAGUAAAAAUUCAAAAAAAAAAAGAAUUUUCUUUUAGUGUCUCUUUAAAAGUUUUCUUUAAGAUAUUAAUUACAAAAUCCAAAAAGAUUUUCUUUUGAGGUUCUUCUUUGGGAAAUUAAUGAAAGAUGAAUAUAUAAAAUUCUUUUUAUUUUUACUAGAACUUUAGGACAUUGUACAUAGAAGAAAAAGAAAACAACAUACUUUAUCUUUGGUUUAUCUUCAGAGUUUCUCCCUUAGGUAAUCAAAACUAAAAUCCAAUUUUUUUUUAUCUUUUCAUUUCUUGGUUCGAAAUUUUCCUUCAGGAUAUCACACGAAAAUUCAAAAUAUUUUUCUUUGGUUCAUUCUUUAGAUUUCCUUCCUAAAAAAAAUUUGCUUCCUUCAUUUCUCUUUUCUCAUCAGAGUAUUCAUUAAAGCAAAAAAAAAAAGAAAAAAAGAAAAUGAGAACGUUAGUUUGUUUACUUUAUUCCAGAUCUUCCAAAACUACGCAAAGAUCUGAUUCAUGCAACGUCAUAAUACGUAGGCAACCUACAUAGAGUUCGAUCGAAUCAUUUUUUUUAUUUCAUUAAAAAAAAGGAAACAAAAAAAGAUGUGGAAUUACGGGAUGUGAGAAAUGUGAGGAAAGGAAAGAGUGAUAAUUAGAAGGAAAAAAAAAAGAGAAAGGAAAAUGAGCAAGAUAAGAAGUGCUAGAAAAGAAAGAAAAGAGAAGAUUGAAAUGAACAAAAUUGGGAUGAUGCCAAGUGACUUUGUGACCCUCGAAGUCAUUCUAGAACCGUUAAUGGUUGCUAGGUGCAUUGCACGCAAUGUGAUAUUUUUAGCUUUUAAAUGCCCUAAUGCUAACAGGAUGACCCCAUUUUGUUCCUUUUGUUACCUUUAUUGAGUAGAAGGGUGGUUGGUUUGUGGUUCUUAAACUGGUAACUCUUCCAUACAACACAAGGUCAAAGAGCAAGGUAGCCAUGGCUAGGAAAGACUUGGACACGAGAGUUGUUGACCCGUCGAGGGAGUUUGUGGAGUCGGAGUCUGAAUUGAAAGAGGAGGUCCAAAGGGUGAAACAACAGAUGGUAGAAAUGUAUCAGUCUUGGAUCAGGGGACAUCCUCCACCUUCAUUCCCCACUAACUACACUGAAAACCCUACAACUAUCCCACCCCUAUCACAAGCCCAGGUUCCCACUGUUGUUAAUAUCUCCCCGCAACAUUUUCACACUCCACCCCUCAAAAGCACAUCAUAUCCCGCUCCUUUGGACACUCAUGCUCUUGUAGCUCCUCCUCCAGCUACUUUUCCUUGAUCCUCUAACGAGACUGUGUUCAAAGUCCCCGAUGCCCAACACUAUGCUCCAGAACCAACUUUCAAAGUCUUGGAUCCAUACUCUCACGCUCCAUAUUUUGAGGCUCCUGGUGAAGCUGAAAAUCCUGCUAAGACAGUGGAGCAAGAUGACAUAUCCAGGAAGGUGAAAAUCUUAGAGGAGUUUUUAAGAAACAUGCAAGGGAUAGGAAGCCAGAUGAGCGUGGCUUACAAAGACUUGUUCUUGUUUCCUGACAUCCAACUACCUGCUGGGUUUAAAAUGCCAAAGUUUUAUUUGUAUGAGGAACAUGGAGAUCCCAUGGCCCAUUUGAGAGGCUACCGCAGUAAGAUGAGAGGCGAUGGUGGGAAGGAUAAAUUAUUGAUGGUGUAUUUCAGUCAGAGUUUGAGUGGGGCUGCUCUGGAUUGGUACACCCGCCAAGAUGCUAACAGGUGGUACACAUGGGAUGAUAUGGCUCAAGCCUUUGCCCGGCACUUUCAAUACAAUAUAGAUAUCAUCUCGGAUCAUAUGUCCCUCACCAAGAUGGAAAGGAAGCCUACUGAAAGCUUUAGGGAAUACAGACUCAGAUAGAGAGAGCAAGCUGCCAGAGUCAAUCCUCCGAUGGGAGAAAAAGAGAUGGUCGAGUAAUUUCUUCAAGCUCAAGAGCCAACUUACUUUGGGCAAUUGAUCUCGGCUGUGGGUAGGCCUUUUAAUGAAGUGGUAAAAAUGGGAGAAAUGGUAGAAGAUGGGCUGAAGUCAAGCAAGAUCAUGAGCUAUUCUGCUUUAAAAGCAACAACACAAGCAAUUCAGAACGACACAGGAAGCUUGCUGGGUCAGAAGGAACACGAUAAUGUUGCCAUGGUUGUUUCAGAGUCACAACAUGGUCCAAAGGGUCCGCCUAACCAAUAUACCCAGCCUCAACUCCAACCCCAAACCUAUCCCCGAGCUCUACAUAAUCCACCUCAGUAUUAUCCUUCGAACAAUGUCCGGUCAUCUGUCCAACCACCAGAUCACUCCCUAUGGCGAGCGCCAGCACCGCAUAAUGCAUUCUUGCCUUCACAAUAUUUUUGAGCACCCAAUAACCCUAGAAAAUAGGGGCAGGGAGGGGAACAAAGGCAAAGAAAUAGUUUCAUGCCAAUCGGGGAGUCUUACACAAGCUUGUUUGAAAUGUUAAAACAUUCUGGCCUGAUUGAGCCGCUCCUUGGCUAUACUCCAGACCCAUAUGCAAAAGGUUUUGAUCCUACUGUACGAUGCAUGUAUCACUCUAACGUCCAAGGGCAUAGCAUUGGAAAUUGCCGUGCUUUGAAAGGGGAAAUAGAAAGAAUGAUUCAAGAAGGGAUAAUUGUGAUCAAGGACAGUGACAGGGAGUACGCGAAUCCUCUUGGGAAUUUGCUUACUGAAGUUAAUGAUAUUGAAGCUGGUAAUGGUCUUGGCAAUAUUGAUGUGGAACUCAGUGGCUAAGAUGUCGUGCUUGGUAAUUGGAAAGACGCUCAAUCUCUUGGCUAGCUGGGGAGGAGUCUUGGUGGUUUAUUUUGUUAUCAUUUCUGUUAUCCGGGUUAUUUUCAGGGUUGUAAUUCGAAUAUUGUCUUGUGACUCAAACCCUUCUAUCCUUUUAUUUUGCCUAGUUUGCUUAGUCGUAGUAGCUCAUUUAUUGUUGUCUGGUUUUGUUCCAGGGUUGUAACCCCAGCUUAUUUUACUUGUUUUGUUGUUCAAACCCUUUCCCUAUCUGUCUAAUGCAAUUUUCUGUUUUCUGUUGUUAUUUCUAGUUAGUGUUUGUUUAGUUCUCUUUCCCUUUUAUACUUCUUUUCCUGCUGACUCUAGUGACAUGACAUGCACGCGUAAUUCUCAGCCUGGUCUUAAAAGUUAGUUUAGUCAUGAAGUAAUGAAACAAUUUUGAAGAUGAUAGAGAAAUUUAAGGGAAAUAAGUAAAGGCAUUUUGAGAUCAUUUCAAGCCCGAAUUGUGUGAACUUGGGCAGAUAGAACAUAAAGAAACACUAUUGAAACGCAUCCUGCCGCAUCAAGUUGAAGUUAAAGGCAAGUUUGCCCCAAAUUUGCAGGGGUCGUUCGUGGUAACGAGAGUGUUGUCCAAUGGUGCUUUGUAUUUAACAGAUAUAGAAGGCAAGUGUGUGGAUAUAGUUAUCAAUUCUGAUGCAGUCAAAAGAUAUUAUGUAUGAUUUCUUUGGUUUGUUUAACUGUGUUAUUUGUAUUUGACAUGCUCUGAAGAUUGGAAUGAUGAAGACAUUUUAUUAUGUUAUCUAAACAUUUUAUCCCUUUGUUACCCCUUUGUGCAUUAUUUAUUUUCUUUCAUAUCCCUCUUUUGGAAUCAGAAGCAGAGUUUAGAAAUAUGAUACAAAAAAGGAGAGAAAAGAAAAAAAGAAGAGAAAAAGAUAAAGAAAAAAUGGAAAAAGAGUAAAGAAAAGAAAAAGAAAAAAAAGAAGAAGAGAAAAGUACAAAAAUAAAGCAAUUCCUAUGACUUGAACUACGUUUGACCUGAUUCCUUUUAAGGAUACGUAGGCAGCCUCAUGGUUCGGUCCCAUCAAAAUAAAAAUUCAAAAGUCCUCAAGCAAAGAAACUGGGGCAGAAGUUGUGGUAUAUGUAAGAGAUCUGAUUCCAAAAGUUGUAAUUUAGAGCCCUUUUAAGCUGUUUUUGAGCCAUUAUGAUACCCUUUCUUUCUAAUCCUAUCCAAAAGCCUACAUUACGGUCCAAAAAAAGACUUUCCGAUCAAUCUUUGAGUAGUGCCAAGUCAAGCGAGUUAGAGGUAUGAUUCACAUCAAGGGCAACACUCUGUUCUACACAAGGGAAACAAAAAUGAGAGAGUCUUAUCGGUGAAAACUUUCAUAGGCACCAUAAGGCGACAGUAAGUUGAGAGAAAGAACAAAAUGAGAGAGGCUUGAUGGUUAAAACCCUUCAUACACUACAAGUCGAAUAAGGAUCGUGAAUCAGAUCGGAUAAUCGGAGCAUUGAAGCCCAGUUUCACGGCGAAGAGGCACAAAAAGAGUUGAACAUUAGACUUGCUAGACAGAUUAGGCCAUUUCAUCAAAAGGUGCAUGUCAUGGUCAUUAGAGUUGGUGUCCACAUCUGAUAAGUUUCUACUUUGUAAUUUUCUUGUUAGGUAUCAUCUCUUUCCAUUGUCCCUUAUUCUGUUCCUUUUGUCUUGUUUACUUCCCCUUCUUGAGUCUGUUUGGUCGAAACAAGUGAGAAAUGACUUCAAAAUUUGCUACCAGCUUUCCAAUUGCACAAAACGGAAUAUGUCUUGCACAUCAAAGUGGCAUAAGUCAGGAAAGAACAGUAGGCGUACUGAGUUGGCAACAAUCAAUGUGUUUUGGGAUUCAUGUAAAAUACAAAGAUUUGGUAUAGGUCAAUUCAUGAGCAAUGCAACAGAUAAAGGGUAUUGGGUUUGAACGGAUCAGAGGUAUUUUCUGUGAUAAGGGUGACAGAGAAAGUGGUUAGUCAAUAAACAUGCAAGGUCUUUCAAGUUGAAAUCAAGGUCAUCAUGGCAAGUGAAUGAGCAAUCGCCCGCAAAGUCAAGGCCACAAACCAACCACCAUGUUUAAACUCACAAGUUUUCUUUGUCUGAAACAGGGAUGGAAGCUAUGUUCAUAUCAAAGCUUGGAAGCUUGAAAUUUCAUGUGUAAUGCCCCAAUUCUGCUUACGAAAAGGCUAUUGAGAAAAUCACACAUCACCCCUAGGAGAAACACUUCCUAGUCUGGGUUUUCAAGUUAUAUUUUGUUGUAGGAGACACACUUCAUAAAUUGAGAUUUUAACCUUAAGAGACGUACUUUCUAGUUUGGAUCAUAUGAGUUUGAGUCACUGAUGGUUUUACCCCUAGGAGACGCACUUCCUAAUCUAAGCCUUUCAAGUUAUAUUUUGCUCUAGGAGACGCACUUCCUAAUCGAGAUUCCACCCCUAGGAGAUGCACUUCCUAAUCUUGGUCAUUUAAAAUUCAUCCCUAGGAGACGCACGUCCUAGUUUGAGUCAUUGAAGUUUUACCCGUUAGGAGACACACUUCCUAGUAGGGAUCUUUCAGAUUUUACCCCUAGGAGACACACUUCCUAGUUUGGGUCAUUAAAGUUUAUUCCUAGGAGACACACUUCCUAGUUUGAGUCAUUGAAGUUUCACCCAUAGGAGACGCCUAGUCUGGAUUUUUCAGGUUAUAUUUUUUGUUUUAGGAGACACACUUCCUAAAUUGAGAAUUCAUUAUAGGAGAUGCACUUCCUAGUUUGAGUCAUUGGAGUUUCACCCACAGGAGACACAUUUCCUAGUCUGGGUUUUUCAGGUUAUAUUUUUGUUUUAGGAGACACACUUCCUAAAUUGAGAGUUCAUUAAUAGGAGAUGCACUUCCUAGUUUGAGCUAUUGAAGUUUCACUCCUAGGAGACGCACUUCUUAGUCUGGUUCUUUCAGGAUACACCUGUAGGAGACGCACUUCCUAAAUUGCAAUUCACAUAGGAGACGCACUUCCUAAAUUGCAAUUCACAUAGGAGACGCGCUUCCUAGUUUGAGUCACUGAAGUUUCACCCAUAGGAUAUGCACUUCGUAAAUUGAGAGUUCAUUCGUAGGAGACACACUUCCUAGUUUGAGUCAUGGAUGUUCCACCCCCAGGAGACGCACUUCCUAGUAUGUGAUUUUCAGGUUAUAUUUUUGUUUUAGGAGACACACUUCCUAAAUUGAUAUUUCACCCCUAGGAGACGCACUUCCUAGUUUGAGUCAUUUAAGUUCGGUCCUAGGAGACACACUUCCUAGUCUGGUUUAUUGAAGUUUUACCUGUAGGAUAUGCACUUCCGAAUCAAGGUCUUUCAAGUUAUUCUUUUAGGAGACGCACUUCCUAAAUUGAGAGUUCAUUCAUAGGAGAUGCGCUUCCUAGUUUGGUUCAUUCAAGUUUCACCCCUAGGAGACACACUUCCUAGUUUGGUUCAUUCAGGUUUUAUUUUUAGCAGACGUAUUUGCUAGUCAAAAUUUUUUGGUUUUACUCAUAGGAGAUGCACAUCCUAGUCUAGUCUUUAGUUUACUCUCAUCAUUGAAUCAAUAGUAUAAGUGGUUUACAAUAUUGCUAACAACUCACAAAUAUUCCUAAUGCAAACUGGGGCAGAAAAUUUUGUUUGUUUUGUUUGUAUUGAUUGCAAGCACCUACAUGGAAAACAAGGGAACACAGAAAGUUUCAGCAAUUAGGCGCCCACCUGGAGAACAAGGGAAGACAGUUCAAGUUUCAAGGGAAGACAAUUCAAGUUUCAAGGAAAAGCAGUUUCGAAGGAGGACAGUUCAAGUUCAGCAAUCAGGCGCCCACCUGGAGAACAAGGGAAAACGGUUCAAGUUUCGAAGGAAGAUAGUUCAAGUUCUGGCAAUCAGGUACCACCUGGAAAACAAGGUAAUUAACUUUAGAAUGCAAUUCAAGUCAAUAACAAAAGAAGCUCACGGCAAGAAUGCGAGUCAACAGUCCGAGAUGAUCAACGGAAGUUAGUCACAAUCCAGAAUAAAAAAAAGGCAAGAAGUGAAUCCAAAUGCAUAAGUUGAUGAAAGAUGUGAGCUGCUCAAGACAUGACUGAAGUCACAAGCAUGGUAUGUCUGGUUUUGAUCCGAAAAGCNNNNNNNNNNNNNNNNNNNNNNNNNGGACCGGAACCUCGACAUAACGGCACCUCGACCGGCUCUCCACCUCAGUACACUCCAUCACUGUUCCUACUUCUGAACAAUACGUGGCCUGAUUCCUUUAUAGCUAAGGAUAUGUAGGCAGCUCAGAUACUAGAGCUCGGUCACAUUCUCCUUUCUUUUAGUUUUGGUCUCCCUAAAUAAGGGUCGGGUCAAAAAACCUGUCUAGUCGUUCUUUGUCUGAAAAUACGAAGUCAAAGAGGGGCAGCUGUAGACAUGUGAUUCUUGACCCUCCCCAAUAUUUUACAUAUUUUUGUAUUUAAAUACUUAGUUUAGGUUUAAUAUAGUUAUUUCAACUAAUUUUAACUCUUUUACUUUAUGUCGUCACAAAAAUGAAAAUUACAAAAAAAUAUUUUAUUUUAUGUACCUUUCAUAAAAAUUUAAAAAAUAAUAUAUAAAUAGUACCUUAUUUUUAUCCUUAUAUAAUCUUGAAAAUACAAAAAAUAGUUUCACUUUUAAUAUUUUGUUUUAUUUUGGUAGUGUUCCAAUUAAUUAAGAGUAAUUUUUAUAUUUCUAUAUUUUUAGUCUUCUUAGCCCAAAAUUAAAACCCAAUAAGACAUGGACCCAACCCAAUUCAGAUCUAGCCCAUAAUAACCCAAGCCCAAUACCCUAAGACCCAUUCCCCCUUUCUUCAUAUACACCUUACUACACAUUUUCUAACCUAGAAUGACUAACCUAUAAAGUCAGCCGUUUUUAGAAAGAAUGAAUAGAACGGGACCUAAGGGGUCAGCCGCAAUUCCCAACAUGAGACCCCCCAUCGGUUCCCGGUACUGGAGAUGACAACCAACGACCCCUCCUUCUCCUUCAGCACCUUCCAUGAACGUUCUUCUUCUGUGGACACCCAACCAAAACCAAUCGUCCAACUCACAUCACGCCGACGACCACACACGCACACACAACACCCUACACAACCUUCAUCGCCUAAACCUGAACCUUCAGACCUAAGUAAAGUGAAUGCCUUGUGUCUCUUCUUCUUCGUCCAGCAUCACCAUCCGA
Molecule: long non-coding RNA, 11240 nt
Filed under: Nicotiana tabacum (common tobacco)
Lineage: Eukaryota; Viridiplantae; Streptophyta; Magnoliopsida; Solanales; Solanaceae
Description: long non-coding RNA (NTAB_LNC011155)
Source: RNAcentral